Molecule: ribosomal RNA, 453 nt
Filed under: uncultured Porphyromonadaceae bacterium
Lineage: Bacteria; Pseudomonadati; Bacteroidota; Bacteroidia; Bacteroidales; Porphyromonadaceae
Description: partial 16S ribosomal RNA
Rfam family: Bacterial small subunit ribosomal RNA
Source: RNAcentral
ACGGAAGGCAGCAGUGAGGAAUAUUGGUCAAUGGACGGAAGUCUGAACCAGCCAAGUCGCGUGAAGGAUGAAGGUAUUAUGUAUUGUAAACUUCUUUAGCAGUGGAGUAAUAAGGGGAUCGCGAUCCCUGAUGCAAGUACACUGAGAAUAAGGAUCGGCUAACUCCGUGCCAGCAGCCGCGGUAAUACGGAGGAUCCGAGCGUUAUCCGGAUUUAUUGGGUUUAAAGGGUGCGCAGGCGGCUUUUUAAGUCAGUGGUUAAAUCGUGACGCUCAACGUCAUCACGCCAUUGAUACUGGAGAGCUUGAUUGCGGUCGAGGUUUGCGGAAUUCGUUGUGUAGCGGUGAAAUGCAUAGAUAUGACGAAGAACACCGAUUGCGUAGGCAGCUGACCAAGCCGUAAAUGACGCUCAUGCACGAAAGUGCGGGGAUCGAACAGGAUUAGAUACCCUGGUA